AAACAACCUGAAACUAAAUCACAGAAACUCCUGGAAACCCAACUUGAAUUAGCCCAAGUGUGUCUGUGCAUUUGUGUAUUUGUUGUUUAUGCACGACAAAGUCCUACAAAAUCAAAUUGAUUUACUUUACCUUGAUUUACUUUAGAAAAAAAAUUAAAAUAUCAGCAAAUUCAUAUUUAGGUUUGCCUUCACAAAGGAGUUAUAAACUUAAUGUUUUGUAUAUUUAAUCUGUUAUCUUAAUUAGGGACUCGUAGAUCAUCAAAGAGAUGUUAAAAUAAUACAAUCAAGAGUCAUAGAGUAACAUGUACAAUUUAUUUUUUGGCAAGACUCAGAAAAAACAAUUUGAUAUGUUAAUGGAUCCUAAUGGGCAAUAGCUAUUAAUUAAAUAAAUAACCCAUUAGACUGAGAAGUGAAGUGUCAGUACAAGGACAAUGUACUAAAAUUGCUGAAGAAUAGCAAUUAACUUAUAGUAUUUAGUGGUGGCACAGAUAUUUAUAUUUGGUUUUGUAGAUAUUUGUGUCAGCUAUAUCAAAUUAAUUAAAUUAAACCAGCAACUAUUUAAUAAAUCUCUACAAUGUGUGUGCAGUGCUAUGCUAGGCAUUUGGAAUAAAGCAAAAAAGUAGACAACCUGAUCUAGACUCUUGGGGAAAAUAUAGUAUAGUAGGGAGAGGCAAGAUGUAAGUAAUUUUAAUAUAUAAUGAUUGUGCAUGUUGACAUAUUAAAAAUGUUUUAAGGUAUUACACCAUCAAUUCUUUACCACUUUUAUCACUGUCCAUCAUGACGUACUAACAAUUGUUGAGGAAAAAUAAUGCUGGGGUAGGGCCUGGGGAUAACCAAGAAGGUGUAAAUCCUGGCCUCUGCUCAGGAAGCCAGUGAUCUAAUUUGGAAGGUUGAUUGCUAAAUGAAAUCUUUGCUGACGCAGAAAGUCCCAUGAAUAGGAAAGGGAGAAAGAGCUAAGGGCUAGGAUAUUCUGGCAAGUUUGUGGAGGCGAACUGGAGCUUGAAGUACAGGUGGAAUGUGACUAAACAGAGAGGGGAGGUGGUGGCUCAGGUGGGGACGAUGGCCAGAGCCAGCUUCAUUGUGAGGCAUUAGGGGUGAGGCUGCAGAAGAGAUUUAUGUAAUGCAGCCACAAUGUUGUGCAAUCUGGUGAUUGAAGAAUUUGGACUCGGCUUUCCUGAGGAGAGUGACAGAAUCAAAGUGGUUGUAGAAAGAUGUUGAUCAGAUUGAAGGGUGCUGGGGAGAUCUGUGGUAGGAGGGAGUAGGAGCUAGAAGGCAGCAAGACUGGCUGGAGGCCCUUGUGAGGGGAUAAGAGAUGAACAUGAUUUCCUAAAACAGAUCACAGCCUUUUUAAGGGAAAGGGAAAUGCCUUGCUUUUCCUUGUUUCCUUGUUUUUCCUGUACAUUCAGUCCAGAAUGUAUAAUGCUGUGGAAUAACCCCUUGUAGAGCCACUGACUUAUGAGACUAUCUAAAGACAGGUGCUGACCUUUGCCGCUGAUCACUGUAUUUGGCCUCCUGGAACAAGAGUGCCUCAUGAAUAAAACAAGUUAGAGCAACCUAAGGAGAUUCAAGCAGAGGUCACUCUAUAGUGAGGUGAUAAAUUUUGUGACCGAUAUGGAGGCCUAGCUUAGUCGCAGGCAAUCAUUACUGAAUUACCUGGUGAUAACAGGAGGUGAAGAAAAUGUGCAUUCUAAGCACAAUGCAAAUGCGAAUCACUAGCUUCCUGGAGAUCUGAUCAAAUAAAACUUAAGUUUUAAUUAAACUGUGACCAAAUUAAUUAAAAGUUACUAUACUGUGUGAUAGAUAAUUAUCAACUAGAAUGUUGCUUAUUUUGCUGCAGCAUCCUGAUUUCUUUAUCUUCCUGUUCUGAAAAUGUAAAAAUCCUUUUAGUCUUUUAGAUGAGUCACAAGCGAAAAAAAAAAAAUUAAGUUAGCAGGAUGUAUUAAACAUUAAUUUAAGCACAAUCAUGAAAACCUGAAAUUUUCUUUUUUCUCUAGCUAUGUUUUAAGUUCUUGACAUAAUUUUUACAAUGGCACAUCUAUUUUUUAUGAGUUUUUAAUAAAAUGUAAUAAUAGCAACUAAUAAUGUUAACGAUAAUAAUGAUAACUGUCAUUUCUCUCUCCUCAGGAUCAUUUUGUGCUGAGCGUUCAUAACUGAGUCAUAGCUGUCUGUGUUAAAGGAUUGUUCCCAGGUUUUAUUUAUCUUGUUCAGCCUUUUAAUUCAAUUGGUUUCUUGGCUGAUUUGUCUCCCAGUGUGAUUAAUCAAUGAGAACUAGGGGCCCAAUUCACGUUUUCACUUAAGUCGAUUGAAAUGUUGAGUGUGGUUGUGGUUGUUUAGGAGAUAAAACAGGGUCACUGACUUACAACAUCAUUUCUUCUUGGUUUUAUGCCUUAACUGUAUUUUCCCCAGCAGAAUCUGGUAACUGUUUCUCUCAGUUAUGGAAGCCUACAGGGAGAGGAAAGGUUGACAGCCAGAUCACAUCGUUCCUCUAAAUCCCCAGCACCUGGCACAGAGGCUGG
Molecule: long non-coding RNA, 2516 nt
Filed under: Homo sapiens (human)
Lineage: Eukaryota; Metazoa; Chordata; Mammalia; Primates; Hominidae
Description: HSALNT0109646
Source: RNAcentral